RNAcentral lists this ribosomal RNA (385 nucleotides) under uncultured bacterium. RNAcentral's name for it is "bacterial SSU rRNA". It matches the Rfam family "Bacterial small subunit ribosomal RNA", at positions 29 to 416 of the family's 1533-position model. The record is from RNAcentral.
AUUGAACGCUGGCGGCGUGCUUAACACAUGCAAGUCGAUCGGUAACAGGUGUAGCAAUACAUGCUGACGAGAGGCGGACGGGUGAGUAAUGCUUGGGAAUCUGCCUAUUAGUGGGGGACAACCCGGGGAAACUCGGGCUAAUACCGCAUACGCUCUACGGAGGAAAGCCGGGGACCGCAAGGCCUGGCGCUAAUAGAUGAGCCCAAGUCGGAUUAGCUAGUGGUAGGUAACGCCUACCAAGGCGACAAUCCGUAGCUGGUCUGAGAGGACGACCAGCCACACCGGAACUGAGACACGGUCCGGACUCCUACGGGAGGCAGCAGUGGGGAAUAUUGGGCAAUGGGGGCAACCCUGAUCCAGCGACGCCGCGUGGGUGAUGAAGGCC